AGAGUUUGAUCAUGGCUCAGAACGAACGCUGGCGGCGUGGAUAAGACAUGCUAGUGGGACGCUGGCUGUCGGGUAGCAAUAUUCGGCAGUUGGAGUCGCGUAAGGGUGCGUAACACGUGGGUAAUCUGCCGCGAAGAUCGGAAUAACUUGCUGAAAGGCGAGCUAAUACCGAAUGCGAUAGCUAAAUGGCAUCAUCUGGCAAUCAAAGUCGGGGACCGUAAGGCCUGACACUUCGCGAUGAGCCCGCGACCUAUCAGCUAGUUGGUGAGGUAACGGCUCACCAAGGCUAAAACGGGUAGCUGGUCUGAGAGGACGACCAGCCACACUGGAACUGAGACACGGUCCAGACACCUACGGGUGGCAGCAGUCGAGAAUUUUUCACAAUGGGCGAAAGCCUGAUGGAGCGACGCCGCGUGGGGGAUGAAUGGCUUCGGCCCGUAAACCCCUGUCAUUCGCGAUCAACACCUGCAGCCCAAUACGUUGCAGGCUGAUGGUAGCGGAAGAGGAAGGGACGGCUAACUCUGUGCCAGCAGCCGCGGUAAUACAGAGGUCCCGAGCGUUGUUCGGAUUCACUGGGCGUAAAGGGUGCGUAGGCGGUCAGAUAAGUCUGACGUGAAAUGCCGGAGCUUAACUCCGGAAUGGCGUCGGAAACUAUUUGGCUAGAGGAUUGGAGGGGGGACUGGAAUUCUCGGUGUAGCAGUGAAAUGCGUAGAUAUCGAGAGGAACACCCGUGGCGAAGGCGAGUCCCUGGACAAUUCCUGACGCUGAGGCACGAAAGCUAGGGGAGCAAACAGGAUUAGAUACCCUGGUAGUCC
RNAcentral lists this ribosomal RNA (815 nucleotides) under uncultured bacterium. RNAcentral's name for it is "bacterial SSU rRNA". It matches the Rfam family "Bacterial small subunit ribosomal RNA", at positions 8 to 796 of the family's 1533-position model. The record is from RNAcentral.